RNAcentral lists this ribosomal RNA (455 nucleotides) under uncultured bacterium. RNAcentral describes it as "bacterial SSU rRNA". It matches the Rfam family "Bacterial small subunit ribosomal RNA", at positions 29 to 506 of the family's 1533-position model. The record is from RNAcentral.
AUGAACGCUGGCGACGUGGAUAAGGCAUGCAAGUCGAGUGGGUUUAGACCCACGGCGAACGAGGUAGUAAUACACAGGAACGUACCCUAGAGUCGGGCAUAAUCAGCCGAAAGGUUGGCUAAUUCCCGAUAGACCCUUGCCGUAAGGCGUAGGGUAAAGUCUCACGACGCUCUGGGAUCGGCCUGUGGGCUAUCAGCUAGUUGGUAGGGUAAUGGCCUACCAAGGCGAUGACGGCUAGGGGGGGUGAGAGCCUGUUCCCCACCGAUGGUACUGCGACACGGACCAUACACCUACGGGUGGCAGCAGCCGAGAAUCUUCCGCAAUGGGCGAAAGCCUGACGGAGCGACGUCGCGUGGUGGAUGAAGUCCUUCGGGACGUAAACACCUUUUAUUGGGGAGAAAACCGCCGUAAGGCGGUGUGAUAGUACCUGAUGAAUAAGGGGUUGCUAAACUCGU